Molecule: long non-coding RNA, 3531 nt
Filed under: Bemisia tabaci
Lineage: Eukaryota; Metazoa; Arthropoda; Insecta; Hemiptera; Aleyrodidae
Description: lncRNA ENSASIAIIG000554
Source: RNAcentral
ACCCUGACCUUUUUUCAUGGUCGGUAACACGGAGGCACUCGAGGGAAUAUCACCCAGGCUUUCGUCUAUUUAUUCCAAGCAACUAACGAGUAGAAACACAAAAAACCAGACGAAAAAAAGUUUCACCGUGGAACAUUUUUGACGCGCGUCGAGAGCUGCCUCGGCACGAGAGGGGAAAAUUUUCGCGAAAAUCAAACGCGUCAUGUCGAACGGCCAAAUGCGUGGCGUGACUCUGUGAACGAAGCCUUUAAAAGGGCGACAGUCAGGGUGUAUUGCUACGAGUUUCUGUGCAGUGCUGUGAUAUACGCGACUUCACCAUGAGUUCGCCCUCAGGUGUUAUCUGCUGGUGUUUCCUCGCUCUAGCGGUUUGGCAUGUCAGCGCCAUCGAAAACCCCAACGCCAAGGACAAGACGGACGACAAGUACCUGUCGGACGCGGAGGCUAUACAGUACAUGAAAGACCACCCAGAGUACCGCCCAAACUACGACUUCGUCCCGAUGGAUUUGGCAGCCAGCACCUUGACGGGCGGCCGAGACUUUGAGAACUUGGACGACCGACGCCCCCAGGACAACAGACGCCCCUUCCAGGACGACCAACGCCCCCAGAGCCCCCUCAAACGACAGCAGUCCAUUAGUGCGGAUGAGAAGCGCGCCUUUCUCCGACGACAACAGUCCCGCGACGGACGCCCCAACAAGCUCCAGAAACAAAACUCCGGCUCCAAACCGGCCAACUCCCCGAUUAGAUCCGACUCGCCGAGACUCAGAGCCGCCGCCGGUCUCAACAAGUCUCCCAGCAUCAAGUCCGCGAGCCUCAGCAAGUCCAAAAGCCUCAAGAAGCCAGGAAACUCUCAAGGGCGCUCGCAAUCGCCGAGACGAGCUGCGGCGCCCGCAGCGUAGGCCGCCCGCCGGACCGCCUGCACUGAAAAAAAAAGUUCGGUAAAUCCGAACUAGUUAGGAUCGUAUGGAUUGCAUUUUGCAAGAAGGAACCAGGAGCAUUGCAAUGUCGCUAAGAUUGUGCAACUUCUUUUGUCUUGGAAGAAACCCCUGAGUAUCCAUUGACAGCUCCUAGUUUACUCACUAAAACCUGUAAAUUCAAGACAAAAAUAACCGUUGGAAUUUUAUAUUUUUUCAUGAUUUCAGUAAUUUAUUGCAAGGGAUGAAGUUGCGCAAUCUUAGCAUCACUGCAAUUCUUCUAGUUCCUUUUUGCAAAAUGCAAUCCAUAUGGAACCAGGUUUUGUUCGGUACACACAACCGAAUUAUUCGGUCUGUUCAUCCGAAUUGUUCGGUUUGUGCAACCGAACUAUAAUAAAUGCUUACAGUUCGGUUCAGUGGACCGAACAGUUCGGCUGAGCGAACCGAAUAAUUCGGUCGUGUGUACCGAACAAAAUCGAGGUUCCAUAUGAUCCUAACUAGUUCGGAUUUACCGAACUGUUUCUUUCUUUUCGAUCGUAGAGUGCAUGGGACCGUUUUAAUGGUCGUUCCUUUGGUAGAUUUUCCCCGUGGAGAAGCCCCGUCUAUUGUUUUAUCCAGUGGCGUGCCGUAAAUUGGGAUAUAUAGAUUGUUAUGCCGUUUAAAACUACGGAAAAGGAUCGAUAAACAGGGUGUUCGCAGCGAACACCUUAAUAAUCGAUUCUUUACCAUAGGUCUGAAUGGCAUAAAAAUCGAUACAUCGCAAUUCACCCCACGCCACUGGUUUGAUCGUGGUUAAGGGAUGUUAAAGGACGCCUUCGACGUAGCAUCAAAUAAAGGGAAAAUAUUACAAAACUUGGGUAAAAUUCAACAGUGCGACUUGGGAGAUGGAUUUCUGCCAAUAAUGACGAUGAUUGGCCUCUACACAAAAUAAGAAAGAAAAAAGUCUGUGGAUUUUGUUGAACUUUAACGUAGGUGCAAACAUGGCUUGAAAUUUUUUUCCGUUUAAUAAUAUCAGAUCAUGUUACCCCUUAGAGGUACCGUUGAAUAAUACUCAAUAUUUGUGAUAAUUAUGCUUUUUAUGAUGCGACAGUAGAGUAAUUUUCAAACCUCCCAUAAUAGCACUGUUAACCAUUAGGUCGCAUUUGAAAAAGAGCUAUUGAAGGAGCGACUGUUGAAACGGCUUUUAUAGUCGCGAUAAGGUUCAGUUACACGAUCAAAGUGAGCCAUCAAACUGAAGCUCUGAUUGGUGGAAAAAGACCUGAGGUGAGGAUGCGACCAAUGAGAGGCCCAAUUUGAUCGUGUAACAGGACCUUUUGGAAUGGGAGAUCUGUCUACACUUUUAAGCAUGUUCCAUCCUACAAAUCUUGAGACUUCCGUCGUCGCAAAGCACGAAUUUCGAUAACUACUACAUUUUGAAAUAAGGAACUAUUUUUUCUGGCUCAUCAAUUGAAGCACCUAUCCACAUAUGGAAACUUGGGGCGCAUGUGUUGUUUCAAAAAUAAGCCAAAAAUAGUGGUUCCUUAUUGCAGAACUUGGUCUGUACACUGGAAAAAAGUCUCUUGAGUCCUCAGUCCACAUUCUAAAAAAACAUCGGUCACAAUUCAGAUGAGCCAGAAUCUAUAGUUCCAAAUUGCAAAAUGCAGUCCAAAUAAUAUUCGAAUCCGUACACAACGCCGAGCGCACUCAAGGCUUGGAUUCCAUGAGACAAACCCCAAAUCUUGUUGGCCAGUAAUCGUUGGCAUUUUGAAAUAUGGAACUACAAUUUCUGCUACAUGCACAAAAGUGCCUAUCUGCAUCGGAAAACCAUUAGCACGUAUGCUGUAUUUAUAAUAAGCUAGAAAUUGUAGUUCCUAGUUGCAAAAUGUGGUCCAGUUUACGGACGGCUGAAAGUUGCGGCAAGAAUGUUAACUUCGCUAUUUGUUCGCUGAUCAAUUGUCCGCGCCAUUGAGGGACUAAUGAUGGCUCGAGCCUGCUGUAGAAAAAAGUUGCGUAAAGCUCGAGUUAAGAAUAUGAGUUUUCCAUUUUAAAGUCAUUAUUUGAAAUUAGGUUUCGCGACUUUGGGUCGACGGUAGACCCAAAAGAUUUGGACUGAGACCAGAACUUUGGAGCUCCUUUCCUUACGUGGCGAUUCUUAAAUCUCAUGUACUUUACGACCACUACCUACGGCAAUACGAUUAACACACGGAGAAUUCCCGGGCACCAAUAGUGCUACGCAUAUACUGGAUUACGAUCGACUCCUAGCAUAGAACAUGCUUUGAUGCAUUUACCCUUGUCUGCCAGCCAGGCAAUUUUUUUCUAUUAACAUCGAUUAUGUUUGGAUUCAUUCACCCUUGUCUGUAAGAAAAACACUUUUUUAUGAAUACAGUCGAAUUUCCGCGAGUGGGUUCGGAUUAGGUCUCAACCUCGACUAUUACCAACCUCCGUUAAAACACAUAUUCAAUUUUUGGCGUGUUCUGAGUACUUCGUGGUUUCCAACCGUGCCUAAAAGUGAACUGGAUUCACUAGCGGAAAUUUGACUUGGUCAACAGAGGCUUCUUGUGGACCCGUUUUUGAAAUACAUUGGUUUAUCGCACAAUGAAACUUUUUGAGUUAUUUACACUGUUGUUUCCUUGAAGAUAAA